RNAcentral lists this ribosomal RNA (277 nucleotides) under uncultured Oscillospiraceae bacterium. RNAcentral describes it as "partial 16S ribosomal RNA". It matches the Rfam family "Bacterial small subunit ribosomal RNA", at positions 69 to 339 of the family's 1533-position model. The record is from RNAcentral. Lineage: Bacteria; Bacillati; Bacillota; Clostridia; Eubacteriales; Oscillospiraceae.
UCGAGGAUUCGUCCAAGUGAAGCAGAGGACAGUGGCGGACGGGUGAGUAACGCGUGAGGAACCUGCCUUUCAGAGGGGGACAACAGUUGGAAACGACUGCUAAUACCGCAUAAGCCCACGAUCCGGCAUCGGAUUGAGGGAAAAGGAUUUAUUCGCUCUAGGAUGGACUCGCGUCUGAUUAGCUAGUUGGCGGGGUAACGGCCCACCAAGGCGACGAUCAGUAGCCGGACUGAGAGGUUGAACGGCCACAUUGGGACUGAGAUACGGCCCAGACUCC